This 571-nucleotide long non-coding RNA is filed under the name Physcomitrium patens. RNAcentral's name for it is "long non-coding RNA (PPAT_LNC008972)". Lineage: Eukaryota; Viridiplantae; Streptophyta; Bryopsida; Funariales; Funariaceae. The record is from RNAcentral.
UCAAGUGCAUGCUUGAGAAUAUACAUUGUCAUAUUACGUAAAGUCUUGCUCAAGAGUGCAAUGAGUACCUAGCUAUGGAAGGUAGAAUAGAAAUUGCAACAACAAAAUCCUAAUUCUAAUAGAAUAUUAAAUAAACUCUUAUUAAAUCUCAAUAAUGCUAAAUAAGCUUUAAUCAAAUUCAAAAGAAAUUUAAAGAAAUUAUAAAAUAAAUAAUAAGAAAUCUUAAAGGAGUUGAAAGAAAAUCUAUAAUAAAUCUUAAAAGAAUCCUUAAGGAGCCCUAAAAAAUAUUAGAAUAAUCACAAAUAUAUCUUAAAUAAAUCUCAACCAAAUUCUAAUUUAAUCCUAGUUGAAACUCUAAUGGACUUCAAUCAAAUCCUAAACAAUUAAUAAACCCUAAACCAAACUAUAAAUCAAACUUUAGAAAAUCCUAAAUCCUAAAUCAAACCAUAAAUCAAAUCCUAGACAAAUCUUAAAUCCUAAAUCAAAUCCUAGAUCAAACCUUAAAUCUUAAACCAAAUCUUAAAUCCUAAACCAAAUCCUAGAUAGUUUAGAACCUCAAUAUCUAUCAAUU